This 1533-nucleotide ribosomal RNA is filed under the name Klebsiella aerogenes EA1509E. RNAcentral describes it as "SSU rRNA". It matches the Rfam family "Bacterial small subunit ribosomal RNA". The record is from RNAcentral. Lineage: Bacteria; Pseudomonadati; Pseudomonadota; Gammaproteobacteria; Enterobacterales; Enterobacteriaceae.
AGAGUUUGAUCAUGGCUCAGAUUGAACGCUGGCGGCAGGCCUAACACAUGCAAGUCGAGCGGUAACACAGAGAGCUUGCUCUCGGGUGACGAGCGGCGGACGGGUGAGUAAUGUCUGGGAAACUGCCUGAUGGAGGGGGAUAACUACUGGAAACGGUAGCUAAUACCGCAUAACGUCGCAAGACCAAAGUGGGGGACCUUCGGGCCUCAUGCCAUCAGAUGUGCCCAGAUGGGAUUAGCUAGUAGGUGGGGUAAUGGCUCACCUAGGCGACGAUCCCUAGCUGGUCUGAGAGGAUGACCAGCCACACUGGAACUGAGACACGGUCCAGACUCCUACGGGAGGCAGCAGUGGGGAAUAUUGCACAAUGGGCGCAAGCCUGAUGCAGCCAUGCCGCGUGUAUGAAGAAGGCCUUCGGGUUGUAAAGUACUUUCAGCGAGGAGGAAGGCAUUAAGGUUAAUAACCUUGGUGAUUGACGUUACUCGCAGAAGAAGCACCGGCUAACUCCGUGCCAGCAGCCGCGGUAAUACGGAGGGUGCAAGCGUUAAUCGGAAUUACUGGGCGUAAAGCGCACGCAGGCGGUCUGUCAAGUCGGAUGUGAAAUCCCCGGGCUCAACCUGGGAACUGCAUUCGAAACUGGCAGGCUAGAGUCUUGUAGAGGGGGGUAGAAUUCCAGGUGUAGCGGUGAAAUGCGUAGAGAUCUGGAGGAAUACCGGUGGCGAAGGCGGCCCCCUGGACAAAGACUGACGCUCAGGUGCGAAAGCGUGGGGAGCAAACAGGAUUAGAUACCCUGGUAGUCCACGCCGUAAACGAUGUCGACUUGGAGGUUGUGCCCUUGAGGCGUGGCUUCCGGAGCUAACGCGUUAAGUCGACCGCCUGGGGAGUACGGCCGCAAGGUUAAAACUCAAAUGAAUUGACGGGGGCCCGCACAAGCGGUGGAGCAUGUGGUUUAAUUCGAUGCAACGCGAAGAACCUUACCUACUCUUGACAUCCAGAGAACUUAGCAGAGAUGCUUUGGUGCCUUCGGGAACUCUGAGACAGGUGCUGCAUGGCUGUCGUCAGCUCGUGUUGUGAAAUGUUGGGUUAAGUCCCGCAACGAGCGCAACCCUUAUCCUUUGUUGCCAGCGAUUCGGUCGGGAACUCAAAGGAGACUGCCAGUGAUAAACUGGAGGAAGGUGGGGAUGACGUCAAGUCAUCAUGGCCCUUACGAGUAGGGCUACACACGUGCUACAAUGGCAUAUACAAAGAGAAGCGACCUCGCGAGAGCAAGCGGACCUCAUAAAGUAUGUCGUAGUCCGGAUUGGAGUCUGCAACUCGACUCCAUGAAGUCGGAAUCGCUAGUAAUCGUAGAUCAGAAUGCUACGGUGAAUACGUUCCCGGGCCUUGUACACACCGCCCGUCACACCAUGGGAGUGGGUUGCAAAAGAAGUAGGUAGCUUAACCUUCGGGAGGGCGCUUACCACUUUGUGAUUCAUGACUGGGGUGAAGUCGUAACAAGGUAACCGUAGGGGAACCUGCGGUUGGAUCACCUCCUUA